Marmota monax (woodchuck) is the source of this 1369-nucleotide long non-coding RNA. RefSeq lists it as uncharacterized. The record is from RefSeq and is a predicted model, not a curated record. The transcript is spliced from 3 exons. NCBI's taxonomy places the organism in Eukaryota, Metazoa, Chordata, Mammalia, Rodentia, Sciuridae.
UGGGCAUAAAAAGAAUGGCAGUCAGUGAGCUGUUUACCAAAGAUGUAGAGUUUUCAUUAAUUUCAGUUUGUUUUAUUUGGCUUUUAUUUUGUUAAUUGGAAACAUUUAAAUAUUUUUUAUUAGUAGGGAAAUAACAAUUGAGGAUCAAACAUAUAGAUGUCAGAUGCAAAACUGAGAAAGGUUUCCCGUAAAAGUCAUCAGCGAGAAGCAGACAAAGCAGGUUUGCAGAGUAAGCAACUGAAGGACCACAAGAACGUGAAAUCUAUAAGGACUCCAAAAGAUAUUAAUGUCAAUCAGGCUAAUAACCCAAAUUACUGAGGAAACUAAUGCAACAGAUGACAAUAUUCUGCAUUUAAAAGAUGGACUUAAGGAUCAGAGGUGGGAUAGUCCCACAGUGGCCAUCUUCAGGCAAGAUCCAGGGAAACCAGUAGCUGCUCAGUCCAUGAAGCUGAAGCCCCAGGAUGAGAGAAACCAAUGAUGCAGCUGUGCCUGGAGCUGAAAGCCUGGAAGCUCUCUGGGGAGGUGCUAGUGUCGGUCCAUGUUCAAAGGAUGAAAAAUGUGGAGGCUGAUGAUUGUGACACCAUGGUAGCAGCAAAGACACAAGAAGAGUCAAAGAACCAAUCAAGCAUGCUUGUGAGCAUCCUCCUUCUUCCCCUUUUAACUCCAUCUGGGCCCAGCCUGCUGGAUGGUGCCACCCACAUUCAGAGCAGGUCCUGCCCCCUCGGUUCACUGGAUACAUGCCAAUCAUCUCUGCAGACACCCUCACAGAUGCACCCAGAAGUGGGCUUUAGCAGUUUCCUAGGUGUCUCUCAAUCCAGUCAAGUUGACAGCCAUAAUUAAGCACAACACUUACUUGAGAAGACAGCACAUGAAGAAAAACAACAUGUGAAAGUGGAUAAUAAAUAUAAAAGAGCUGCCAUAUUUUGAUAUUAAGGAGAAACAAGGGGAAAAAUUGCUAAGAGUCAUGCAAGAUAAGUCCCUAGAGGUUUGAAGAAAUGAAUAAAGUGCCUGGGCAAUUAUGCUUUCUUUAAACUAGUCUUUCAGUGACUAUCAACAUGUUUGCAGUAAGAGCCAUUCUGAGAGGUAGCAGGUGUCUACUCUCAGGUACGUGUGUUCUGUGUGGUCAAAUCUUGUAAUUGUUCAAACAUCCGUGCUUUGGGUGAGCGAGAAAGAGUGUAAAAUUUAUAUUUAUAGGACAUUCAAAUAAGGUGAUGGAUUUGGAAUCUCUUUAUAAAUAUGCUUUUCAAACCUGUGUUGCUAUUAUUAUUUUUGAAAUUUCAAUACUAAAAAUUUUAAUCAUUAAUAAUACUCAUAUAUACAAUAUCUUUCAAGCACCUGAUAUUGUUCAAUUUUUAUCUAAUCUUUUUUU